CCGCCCUUAGCUCAGCUGGAUAGAGCGUUGCCCUCCGGAGGCAAAGGUCAGUGGUUCGAAUCCACUAGGGCGGGCCA
This 77-nucleotide transfer RNA is filed under the name Parathalassolituus penaei. RNAcentral describes it as "Oceanospirillaceae bacterium G-43 tRNA-Arg". It matches the Rfam family "tRNA". From Rfam's summary of the family: Transfer RNA (tRNA) molecules are approximately 80 nucleotides in length. The record is from RNAcentral. Lineage: Bacteria; Pseudomonadati; Pseudomonadota; Gammaproteobacteria; Oceanospirillales; Oceanospirillaceae.